Molecule: long non-coding RNA, 1587 nt
Filed under: Canis lupus familiaris (dog)
Lineage: Eukaryota; Metazoa; Chordata; Mammalia; Carnivora; Canidae
Description: lncRNA (ENSCAFG00040000683.1)
Source: RNAcentral
AUAUCGCCGGGAGAACCUCCUGGGAGGAGGAGACUCCAGUCCGCCUGCCUCCCGGGAACCGGGCGCGGGGAGGGCGCGGGGAGGCGCUGCGCCCACCUGCGCGCCGGGCUCCGCCGCGGCUCCGGCCCCCUGCACCCCGCCCCGCAGGCCGGGCCGCCUGGGGCGGGGGGUGGGGGGCGGCGGCGGAGGAGGCCGCGCUCAGUCCUCCAUGGCAAAGUCUUUGGUCUUUUCCUCCUGGUCGCCCACUUUGUAGCGCAGCAGCACGCGCAGGAGGCGGUGGUUGUCCCGGGAGGGCAGCAGCGUGAUCUCUCCGGAAAUGUCCGUGUCCUGCUCCACCGGCACCGGCUCGUUCAGGUAGAGCAGCGCUUGCUUCCAGUGCGUGACCGGGUGGAAGGGCGAGGUGGACAGCACCAGGGGCUUCUCCGCGUCCCCGCCGGGGAAGGUCACCUGGAACCAGACGGCGAAGCCGUGCAUGGGCGCCGAGCCGUAGCAGCUGAAGCGGAAGCGGCCGCCCACGCCGGCCUCCAGCUCCUGCUCCAGGCCGCUGCGGGCCAGCUCCAGCCGCGCGAAGCAGUGCGGCCGCGCCAGCACGUCCUCCCCGGACAGGCCCUGCACCACGAUCUCCGAGUGGCCCAUGAGGCAGCGCGUGGCGAAGCUCUCCAGGCAGCUCAUGUCCACGCCGUAGAGCUGCUUCACCUGGCUCCAGAAGCCCAGGCGCAGCUCCAGCAUCUGGUCGCUGACGGGCGCCACGAAGAGCUCGGCGGACGCCGGCAGCAGCAGGCCGCCCUCCUUGAGCCAGCGGGCCCGCGCGUGCAGCACGGAGCGCAGCAUGGACUCGUGCAGCAGCCCGUAGCCCAUCCACUCGCUCACGAUGGCGUCCACCUGCUCGGGCAGCUCCACCGUCUCCACCGGCCCCGGCAGCACGUGCACGCGGUCCUCCAGCCCGUUGAGCCGCACCACGUCGCGGGCCUGCUGCCAGAUGGCGCUGGCCUCCACGGCGUACACGCGCCGGGCGCCCGCCUGCACGCAGAAGAGGCUGAGGAUGCCGGUGCCCGCGCCCACGUCCAGCACCGUCUUGCCCCGCAGCCCGGCCCAGUUCCGCAGGAUGCCCAGGCGGUAGGCGUCGGUGCGGACGCGGUCCGCGAUCAUCUCCUCGUGCACCGAGAUGUCCGCGUAGCACUCGUAGUACAGCUGGUCCCGCUCCCGCCGCGCCCUCCGGGGUCGCGGCGGGGCCGCCUCCGGCGCUCCGCCAUCUUCCUCCUCACUUCCCUCCCCUCCUCCGCCGCCGCCGCCCCCCGACUCAAGCUUUCUUUUCUUGGGCUGCGACAUCUUGGCGGCCCCGGCCGACUCCCGGCGGGCCUUGCGCGGCUCCGCGCGGGCUCCGGGCAGCGGGGGCUUCUGGGACUUGUAGUGCCGGCUGGCACCGCCCACUUCCGGGGGAGAAGCCCGGAGCGCGGCCCCGCGCUGGCAGCCCUGCCGCCCCCGCCGCCCCGCGGAGCCGGGGGGGUGGGUCGGCGCCGCGCGCCCGAGUUCCGCGAGCCUCUCUCCCUCAGCCCCUCCGUUGCCCUCUGCCUCCGCCCGCUCUGA